AGCCCGCCGCCGCCGUUGUCGGCGCCGCCAAGCAAACCCUAGGUUUCCGCCCAAAACCGGGUCGGGCACGGUCGCGAACCGGGGUUUGGGAGGGCGCAGCUAAGUGCAACCUUCACCUCGCAAGAGGAUUGUUCCCAGCCUGGUUGCAAACUCGUUAAACCCCUCACAGUUCAUCUCGGGAGGAGAGGCCAAUCAAAGGCAGUGUUAUCAUCAAAAUUGACGAGAAUGCAGCCGAUGAGACGAGGAAAAAACAAUCUGUGGCUCUGACAACAGAAUGGUUGAGUAUAUUAGAUCCAAAAACAAUAAUGCAUGUCUUGUGUCACAUGAACGAUCGAGUAGCGAAUCAGCUAUUGAAAUGAAUAUUUCAAAUAGAAACAGACGACGAAAAAGAAGGACGACUGAGCUUGUGUCAUUGAUUUGGAACAGAUAAUUAGUAGUGCAUUAUUAUUUUGGAUAUCAUAGAGAAAAAUUAUGUUGGGUUGCUGGUAAUUGCAGUAGGAGAAAUUUUCCCAUUGAGGUUGUCACUGUCUUUGCAGCUGAAAUUAGCAAUUUAUCAUCCAUCAGAA
Long non-coding RNA from Eucalyptus grandis, 566 nucleotides. RefSeq lists it as uncharacterized. The record is from RefSeq and is a predicted model, not a curated record. The transcript has 2 exons. Lineage: Eukaryota; Viridiplantae; Streptophyta; Magnoliopsida; Myrtales; Myrtaceae.